GGGCCCGCACAAGCAGCGGAGCAUGUGGUUUAAUUCGAAGCAACGCGAAGAACCUUACCAGGGCUUGACAUCUACAGAAUUCGGUAGAGAUACUGAAGUGCCCUUCGGGGAACUGUAAGACAGGUGGUGCAUGGUUGUCGUCAGCUCGUGUCGUGAGAUGUUGGGUUAAGUCCCGCAACGAGCGCAACCCUUGUUAUUAGUUGCUACAUUAAGUUGAGCACUCUAAUGAGACUGCCGAGGUUAACUCGGAGGAAGGUGGGGAUGACGUCAAAUCAUCAUGCCCUUUAUGUCCUGGGCUACACACGUGCUACAAUGGCUGAAACAAAGAGAAGCAAGCCUGUAAAGGGGAGCAAAUCUUAGAAAUACAGUCCCAGUUCGGAUUGAGGGCUGCAACCCGCCCUCAUGAAGCCGGAGUUGCUAGUAAUCGCGAAUCAGCAUGUCGCGGUGAAUACGUUCCCGGGCCUU
This 465-nucleotide ribosomal RNA is filed under the name uncultured bacterium. Its description in RNAcentral is "bacterial SSU rRNA". It matches the Rfam family "Bacterial small subunit ribosomal RNA", at positions 917 to 1382 of the family's 1533-position model. The record is from RNAcentral.